UCAGUCGACUCCUACGGGGAGGCAGCAGUGGGGAAUAUUGCACAAUGGGGGAAACCCUGAUGCAGCCAUGCCGCGUGUGUGAAGAAGGCCUUCGGGUGUAAAGCACUUUCAGUAGGGAGGAAGGUAGUGUAGUUAACACCUGCACUAUUUGACGUUACCUACAGAAGAAGCACCGGCUAACUCCGUGCCAGCAGCCGCGGUAAUACGGAGGGUGUGAGCGUUAAUCGGAAUUACUGGGCGUAAAGCGCAUGCAGGCGGCCUGUUAAGUCAGAUGUGAAAGCCCGGGGCUUAACCUCGGAAUUGCAUUUGAAACUGGCAGGCUAGAGUCUUGUAGGAGGGGGGUAGGAAUUUCAGGUGUAGCGGUGAAAUGCGUAGAGAUCUGAAGGAAUACCAGUGGCGAAGGCGGCCCCCUGGACAAAGACUGACGCUCAGAUGCGAAAGCGUGGGGAGCAAACAGGAUUAGAUACCCUGGUAG
This 475-nucleotide ribosomal RNA is filed under the name uncultured bacterium. RNAcentral describes it as "bacterial SSU rRNA". It matches the Rfam family "Bacterial small subunit ribosomal RNA", at positions 328 to 793 of the family's 1533-position model. The record is from RNAcentral.